This 75-nucleotide transfer RNA is filed under the name Richelia sp. SM2_1_7. Its description in RNAcentral is "tRNA-Arg". It matches the Rfam family "tRNA". Rfam says of the family: Transfer RNA (tRNA) molecules are approximately 80 nucleotides in length. Their secondary structure includes four short double-helical elements and three loops (D, anti-codon, and T loops). Further hydrogen bonds mediate the characteristic L-shaped molecular structure. tRNAs have two regions of fundamental functional importance: the anti-codon, which is responsible for specific mRNA codon recognition, and the 3' end, to which the tRNAs corresponding amino acid is attached (by aminoacyl-tRNA synthetases). tRNAs cope with the degeneracy of the genetic code in two manners: having more than one tRNA (with a specific anti-codon) for a particular amino acid; and 'wobble' base-pairing, i.e. permitting non-standard base-pairing at the 3rd anti-codon position. Lineage: Bacteria; Bacillati; Cyanobacteriota; Cyanophyceae; Nostocales; Nostocaceae. RNAcentral also lists the same sequence under 1 other name. The record is from RNAcentral.
GAGAACGUGGUGUAACUGGAUAACAUCUCAGACUACGAAUCGGCUAUGGUGAAGGUUCAAGUCCUUCCGUUCUCG